This 67-nucleotide transfer RNA is filed under the name Heterocarpus ensifer. RNAcentral describes it as "tRNA-Gly". RNAcentral also lists the same sequence under 1 other name. The record is from RNAcentral. Lineage: Eukaryota; Metazoa; Arthropoda; Malacostraca; Decapoda; Pandalidae.
UAUUUUUCUAAUAUAAAAAGUAUAAUUGGCUUCCAACCAAUAAGUCUGGGAUACCCAGGAAAAAUAA